This is a long non-coding RNA of Mus musculus (house mouse), 10665 nucleotides long. RefSeq annotates it as predicted gene, 34696. The transcript is spliced from 5 exons. Lineage: Eukaryota; Metazoa; Chordata; Mammalia; Rodentia; Muridae. The record is from RefSeq and is a predicted model, not a curated record.
CAGCCAGAACUAUCUGAUGAGACUGUCUCAAAAACUAAAACAACAACAAUAAAAAAAAUCAUUGUGAAAUAUAGUAUAUGCAAAAAGCCUGACCUUAGAGCACCAGCCUGGCUCCUCUCUAACCUGCCUUUUCCCCACCUAAGCCUCAUGUUCUUGCUUUGUAAGAAGGGGCUGACACCACCAAGCGUGGACAUAUACCUGCAAUCCCCUCCUGAGGGGGCCAAGCCAGAGUAUCAUGAGUUACAGAUCAGCUUGAGCUACAGAGAGGAAUCGUGGCUCGGAAAAAAAGAGAUGAGAAGAGAUAACAAGUCCUCCUUUGUGAACUUUGGGAGACUGCUGACAGACUCCAAAUAGGUGCUGAAGACCUAUCAAUCAAUAGACUCUGAACUGCUAUGCAUGCGUUUUUAGAUGAUGAUGAUGAUGAUGACGAUGAUGGUGAUGGUGAUGAUGAUGAUGGUGGUGGUGAUGAUGAUGAUGAUGAUUUUGCAGUGUUGGGGGUCACGCCUGGUACUCAGGCAUACCAGGUUACCAAGUCAGCUGAGACUCUGAUCCAGAACUUUCUCAUUCUGGCCUUAAAAGAACAAUCCAUUACAUUGAUCUUGAAGCCAAGGAGAUGAAAGAAAAUAGACCAAACGAGGAAAUUACGUGAUAUAGCUCUAUCAAAUGUGGGCAAAUCAUUUCUGUACAUGUUGUGCAAGUCAGUCAAAUCAUGAGACCAGGGCCACUGUCUGUGGGGCUAGGAUAUGCUUUACCAACCUGGAAUGUUGUCAUGGUGGGGUGAGUAUGUACAUGUGCGUGUGUGCAUGUGUGUGUGUGUAUGAGAGAGAGAGAGAGAGAGAGAGAGAGAGAAUAUUGGAUUUAGCCUUCAAAAUAGGCAGAGGGAGGGUUGCCAUUUUCCAUAUAGUUUAGGCCAUAAUUGUGAUUUACUUGGAAGUCAGACUUUGUGCUCUUUAGCAACCCCAGGAUCCCAGAAUGCCCAACUGGAUUAAUAAUAAUUAAUAAUACGCUCUAUUAUUACAAAUAUAAAAAUCUUUGACACAAACUUUAUCCAUUUAAACUGUAACAACAGAAGUCCAUCUCCUUUAUAACACCCUUGGCAGAGACUCUGACAUCCCUAGACCACACUGGUCCUUCGAGCUCCAACAGAGGGUUCCUGUACCACUGGGACCUGGUCAGAGCCAUUGCCCAAAUGGCUACUGCUUCCCUGGCUAGAUAGAUGUUCUGGGGAGGUGAACCAUUUCAGGGUUCCACUGAAAUGUGUUCCUUAUUUCUUGGGUCAAGCCAUUCCCUUCCUGCAGCCUCUGGACUUUCCCGGGCUUAUAUGGUUGAAGGGAGAAGAGCAGGUAGGAAGACAGCUUAGCAGUUGAUUGCUUGUCACGAAUUCCCAGGAGUCUGGUCAGGGUGAGGGACUUUGUCCCUUCCUUCCAUCCUGCACGUUUAUCCUACGGCAUGGACCUGCCAACAACUUCCGUCCCAGUGCUGUGUCCAUGGGCCACCUCGUUCCUACUUUUCCCACACUCAGAGCUAGUAGUCCCAGGGAGCUGACUGGUGACAUCGGACUCUCUGGGCAGGCUGGCAGCCAUCCUCUUAUACUUUUAAGGAAGAGCCAACAAGAUUAUUGGGUAUGGAGUGCUUUAUCAUUUCUAGAACCCCGUAUAAAAUUUUGUACCAUUAUUUGUUACAUAAUCCCAUCAUUUAGGCUUUUCCCCUUUGGAAGAACUACUGAAAUAGAACCAAUUAUUAAUACAAUUUCUAAUUAUGCAUUAUAAAGUAUGGAUGCAAUUGCCAGCGUGCACCAUAUUAUUAUGCUCCAGAAGGCUGGAAUGAGCUCACUGUCACAAGAGAGACUGAAAAAAAUCUUACAUUCUUAGAGAGCCAAGGACUUGUGUCAUGGGGACCCCAGGUUGAGCUAAAUGACUUCAGAGGGAGGACUCCUGCUGACCUGGUCAAUCCUUCAUGUAGAAUGAAUACUAAUUCUACAUGAAAACAAACAAACAACAAAACCACCAACCAAUUUUUCAUGGAGAGUGUUAAUUUUGUAGGGCAGCUUGCUUUCCAGCAGUAUCAUUCAGAGUCUUCCAGGAAUACUGUGGUCUUUCCCUUGAAGGCACAGGAGGGACACACAGUGAGCCAUGUGUGUUACCCUCUAAGGCCAGCUUGUCCCCUCGCUGAGACUUGAAUUAAAUUUGAGUGAUGUUUGUUGUGUGCCAGGUUUCUGCUAGGCUCCAGGGAAGAUAUGGAAAUAAAUAAUGACAGUUCCUGCCUUUGGGGAGUUGGCUGUCUAGUAAGGGACACAGGAUGUAUCCGGAAAUGGUUUUAACAGAAUUAAAAAGCACUUCAGGAUCAGUGGCUGGGGUAAUAGGGGAGGCGUGGGUGGCUGAUUAGUUUUAAUUAGAAGGUUUGGAAAAGUCUUUCUAGAGGAAGAUGCAUUUAGGGUGGGCCUAGGAGGAAGCUAGGACUUCAGAAGGUAGGUUGGAGUGAGGUGCGAAGGGGAACCCCAGGAAAGGAAGGUGUUAGCAAGGAAAAGGCCCGGAAAACUGUGGUGUAUUUGGUGAAUGGUGAGCAGGGAUUUUGGGGGACAUAGAAGAGGCACACCACUUCCUGGCUGCAGGGUGUCUUGUGGGCGUGGAGUUAGCCCAUUACUCAUCGCUCCAGGCUGGGUUCUGUUCUGUGUGCUGGGGAUUGUAAAGAGAAAUGCUUUUCAAUCCUGUCUUUAAAGAGCCUAUGGUUUAGUUGUGGCAGACAGAGAGCUAAAGAGUGAUGAGACUAUAAUUGGUUAAAUCCUCUAAUAGAAUCAUAAGACCCUAAUGGGAUAAAUACUUAUCUUUAUGAUAGAGAUGAGGUCAGAGGAGGAAGUAACCAUUCCGAUCUGGGAGAGAGUGUCACGGAAAACUGAGGACAAAGGCCACCUUUGCAUGACGCAGGGGCAGAGACAAUGGUUCUCCUUAUCUUUCUUUGACAUUUUAUUCCCCACUUUUGUCUUUUUAAAAUAGAUUUUUAUUUCAUUUGAAUAUAUUAUAUCAUUUUGCUCCUUUUCCUCACCCAAUUAAUGCCACCAAAUUCAUGGCCUCUUCUUUAACCAUUGUUGUACAUAUGCUAUAAAUGAAUCAAUGUAGAACUACAACUUGCUGAGCCCAUUCAGUGUUGCCUGCAUAUACACGCUUCUAGGGCUGACCACUUAUUGAUGGAUAACCACUCAAGGGGCUCAUCCCUGGAGAAAACUAACUCUACCUCACCUACCAGUUGUUAAUUGUCAAUCUCUUCUACAGGUGGGGUCCCCAUGAUCUUUUCUCCAUCUAUGCAGGUACUUUACCACAGCAGUGGGAAGACUAAAUUUUCUUCCUCUUUCAUUCCCUUCGUCUGCCACUUCCUAUUGGUUCUGUUCCUCUGGGAUGCUCUAGAUCACAAAAGACCCAGGAAGCCUGAGGAAGUCUGAUGCUGAAGAGUUGUUUGCUUUGUUUUGGAGUCCUACCUGGGGACCGGGUUGUUCCAGCACUGGCCCUCUCAACCCUCUUAGCAGGUGACAAGUAAGUGCUGGUCCACAGAAACUGUGACUGUGGGAAGUGAGGCCUUAGUGCACAGACCUGCACAUCAUAGUCACCGUGGCACCUUCCUGUCAGUUCCUCUGAGCACUGUGCUCAGAAAGCAUGGUGCUAGGGCUCUGGUCUUGCCUGUCACCAUCUCCAUACCUAUGGACCACACAGUGAACAAGGCAGUGGAGCAACAGACAGCAGCAUGGAGGGCUACAUUUGUACACAAAGACUUGAAAGCAGGCUGAAGGACCCAUGGAGAUUUUACACACACACACACACACACACACACACACACACACACACACACACACACACCUAGCCAUCCAUCUCUUUCUAUCUCUGUCUGUCUAUCUCCCUAGACCAUCCAUAUGCUCUGUGUUCAUCUGAGUUCAUGAUAGUUGGCUCCACCUUAGGGCCAUUGCCUGGAGUUUGUAGGGACACAUUGUAGGUGACAUUUUUGGUUUGUUUUUAAAGUGAGGUCAUAUGAAUCCCACCUUGGCCUCAAACUCACUAUGUAGAUGAGGAUGGUGUUGAACUUCUGAUCCUUUUGCCUCCUUCUUAAGUGCUACAGUUAUAGGCAUGCACAAUCACAUUGGAUUUUAUGCACUGCCGGGGAUAGAAGUGUGUGUGUGUGUCUGUGUGCCUGUGUGUCUGUGUGUCUCUGUGUGUGUGUCUGAAACCUGAAGUUUUGGCUGGUUAGAGAAUUCCUGGGAUUCACUUAUCUCUGCUGUCCAGCACUGGGGUUAUAGCACGUGUGGCAAUGCUCAGCUUUUACCUGUGUGCUGGGGAUUUAAACAAAAGUAUUUGUCCUUUUGUUUUCAAGGCAAACAAGUGCUCCUACCCACUGGGCUAUCUUUCCAGCCUGAACCCAGUGCUUUGUGCGUGGCAGGCAAGCCCUCUCUAACAGAGCUAUAUCGCCAGCCACAAUUUGGUGACCUUUAACUAUAGGACAACACCCUUGUCAGGGCCUGAUUGCUUUCUUACUGUCAAUGGAGAAUUUAUCCUUUCAAAGAGGCAUUUUGGGAUGAAGCCUAGGGGCUGGAUGCAGGGGCUUCGACCUAUGUGCUAGUUACAGCCUAGUUAAUUGUAGGGUACUGGAGCAUCGGAGGUUCUUCUUGUCCUGGUGUCCCAGUGCAAACUUUGUAUGGCGAGAUCUGCUGUCACCUCCACACAUGUGGUUUGUGACCUGCUCCUUCUGAGAAGACUGCGAGUAAGGGGAGACCUGCUGUAGUGAACUUGAAACUAUUUUCCACCUGGAGUGAGAGAGAGAGUAGACUCCAGAGAAGGAAAAUGAGCAAAUGAACACUUACUGGUUUGGAUUUUUGGUAUGCAGGUCCUAUACCGGUGCAAGAAGAGGGUGUCUAUGCUCACAAACAUUUAUGCAUACACAUGUGAAUGUAAGGAGUGGGGCAGGGGAGGAAAUGACUCCAGCUUGCCUUGGGCACAUAAGGCAAGGUCUCCUCUGGCUGUCCUCCAUAAGCAACCCGCUUCUGCAUGCAUGCAGGAGAGGGUCACCCGGCCUGCGCAUCAGAGGAAGAAUUCUCCUGUCUGGCUGGAGAGGAGACAGUGCAUGAAAAAUGGUGGCAAAAGGUCAGGAGGCGAAGGCAAGUGAGAAACACUUUCAUCUAUUAUCCGGGGUCAACGGGCUCCCUCCCAUCAGGGAACCUUGAGGCCCAAUGAAUGGCCCAUUGCGGGAGGUGCGGUAUUGUGUGCACCAGGAGCCUCACAUCACAAUCCCCAGCCUGGGACAAUAGCGCCUAAGAAAGUGGUGGGUGGCUCGCCUCGCCUCCCAGGGGCCUGCCUCUUCUUAUCAAAGGCCUUUCACCGCAACGCCCCAGCCUGCUUGGGAAGAGGCAGUGUUUGUCCAAUAACACGAAGGCGCUUCAGACUCCUUCCAAAUUCCCGGUCAUGGCGAUUAGGUCGGCGUGCAUUGAAUUUCAUCCAGAACCAGUGUGGGGUUCUCAGCUGUUGUCGCUCCCCAGAAGCUGCACAUAUUCUUUACGUUGUCUGAAGAACAACACAUUCCUGUUUAAAAUAAAGCCCAAAUCCUGCGGUGAGAAGGAGACUCGCAUUCCUUCAGAGGAUGCCUGCGGGGCUACACAUACAUCGAGCCACAGGCAGCCCUGUCUCAGUGUUGUAGGGAGCAGAUUCUGGCUCAGGCAAACCUCAGUUUCUUCCUCGACCUUUCUCAUCACAUGACCCGUGACUGUAGCAGCGAUUCUCAACCUGGUGUCAGGACUCUUAACAGAAAACACGUAUUUCCGAUACUCGUAGGAAUCCUCUAAACGUAUUAUUUUUUUCUACUUCAUUUUUGCCACGGAGUGGUGUCUCAGUUCCUAAGUCCGUUUGUAAAUAUGUGUUUUCUAAUGAUUGCGACCCACAGGUUGAGAACCACUGCUUUAGAGUCUCUGGUAAGUGUGCUGUGAGGCUGAGGAGGUGACUCGAUUAAUUGGGCUCAUUCUUGUUUCCUUUGAAAUACGAGGGGACGGAGAGGUGGUUCGGUACUUGAAGUGCUUACUGUGCAAGGACUGAAUUCAAACCCCCGGCACCCAUAAAAGGUCAGGUAUGGGAGGCAGUACGCGCCUCACUGACUAGAGACAACCCAGGAUGCCCGGCAGUCCCCGUGCUUCUUCUCAACCCAUUUUUAGAUGAAGCCUGAAAAACAGGGAGGAAGUGGCCAGGUAUGUGAUUCAAGGGUAAUCGUCAUAGCCAACACAGGGUCUAGACUCUCAGAUCUCCAAAUGGAUCAUGCAUGUCAGCCUUCAGGUUCAGCUCAGGGACAUAAGUGGGGACUCCCUUGGUAGCAGGACUUUACUGGAGGAUGCGAUUGUCUGAAAGUGGAGGGCAGGUUUUAUAUAGUGAGCACGGGGCCUUGUAAAUCACUCUCCUGAACCAUAAGUUAGUAAUUUCCUCAGCAAGCCUGUUGAGUGCCAGGCCCUGCAAAGGAACAGAAGAAAUAAACAAACAUGUAAAAUAGGACUUGGUCUCUUCCCAUGAUUGUGACAAAUGAAUAUAUAGAUGAAUACAAACAUGUAUGGUGAGCAUUAUGAAAGAGCAUCCCACAGACUCUUGGAGCGUCAGUAUCUUGAAGGAAGGAUUAUAAUAGAAUUUACUGCCAGAUCACAGGAUCAAAUCUAUAGUAGUAUAGACCUAAUCAGGCAUACAAGCAGUAUACUAGACCGGACUCUGUUACUCGAGUUCAUGUCUACCCAGAACCAGAAUAUGGCUUCAUCUAGAAAUAGCAUUUUUUUUGCAGAUAUAAUUAGUUCUAAUGAAGUCAUUUUGAUAUUUUUAUACAAAGGCAGAGUCAGAGUCUGGAGUGAGGCUGUUACAAGCCAAGGAUCUCAGCCCACCACCCCAAACCAGGAGAACCACAUGGAAUACAUUCUCCCUUAGUAUCUAUCUCCAGAGAGUGACAAUCAUUACACUUUUGGGACUUGGGCUUCCUUUAACUGUAAGAGGAUACAUUUCUUUUGUUUUAAGCCAUCAAGUUUGUUGUAAUCCAUAACAACACACAUUGUGUUUACAGGAGUAUUGCAUUGAAAGGUUGGGAUGAGAGUCAUGGAUGGAGAGCUGGGUCAGGGGUGAUCCUGAAACACUGAACAGCAAGUAUCACAGAGGAUGGGGUAAUAUGAUCAGAAAGAACUUGAGCACUUCUGCCCUGUGAGUGAUUUCUGACAGAGAUGAACAGAGCCAUGGGGGAGUGUGACAGGGAGGCAUGGGAGCAGACGGGGACAGGCUAGGAGGGUCUGAGUGCUACAUUAAGGAAUUCAGAUUUGACCCCUUCCUUGUCUCUUUUGUCAAGUCAGUGGCCUCCCUUGCAAAGCCAUGGGGUGGUAGAACAGCCGAAGCUGCCUUCUUCUCCGAGAUCUACACAGGAAAACAAGCCAUAGACACUCAGGAUCCCAGCAGAGUGCUGUGGACAAGCGCAAUGAAAAACAGAGUUUUUGAAGAGAAAAUGAAAUAGCAGAUCUCAGAACCCUUUGUUUACUUUCUUCAUAAAACAAAGGAAAAAUCAAGGUGGCUUUUUCUAUUGGGGUCAUUUCUAAUACUGCAGAAAUUUCUUUUUGUCCCAGGUAAUUGCAUUCCAUAGUAGAGUUGCUUCUUCCUGGGAUCUCUCCAGGUCCAUUCCAAUUAUGAGGAUGCCAAAGACAUUAACUCAGAAGUUUCUUUUUACUGGAGCCAAGUAAGUUGGUGGAUUCACCCCUCUUAUGGACUGGGAGGUCAGAAAACUAGCCAUGGAGAGAAGAGGGGCUGCAGACCACUAUCAGUCAUCUACCACUUACCUACGCUCCUAUCCACCUGCAGCUCACCUUGCUAUCUACCAAAAGUAAGCCUUGAUUUCUGUUUGAAUCCAGACACUCAGUCCUGUAGGGAAUGUGACAGGAAGUCAUUUCUUUUGCUUUUGAGUAGCUCCUAUCCAUCCAUCCUUCCAUCCUUCUAUCCAUCCAUCCAUCCAUCCAUCCAUCCAUCCAUCCAUCCAUCCUUCCACUUAUUCAUUCACCAUUAUAUCAUCUUUUCACAAGCCAUCAUUCCAUCCAUCCAUCCAUCCAUCCAUCCAUCCAUCCAUCCAAUCCAAAUGUCCACCACUCAACCAACCAUUUACUCAAAGAAAGUCUAGAUUUCUGUCCCAGGCUAGACACUGCUCAAGUCCUCUAGUCAAGUCAUCUCCUUUGGCCUUACAGAGAAAUUCACACCCAAGUGCUUGUGCCCAACAGAAGGGAAACGUAGAACCACUGAAUGACGUCACAGUGGUAGAGGUCUUUCACUCAUUUGCAUUGUGAGUGAAGCAGAAAGACUCAAAUACAUGGAACCAAAGCAGCUGAGGCCAUGUAAUUUCUCCAGGCAUGUCAUGGCAUUCAUAAAGUGUAGUGAGUACUAUCCUCUGUCCUUUACGGUGACAUUCAGAGGCUGAGUUAUCCUGAUGUUACCAGGCACUUAGAUCCAUAAGCCUCUGUCUCAGUUUUGUUGUAUUUCCAGGAUACUACGAAAUAAAAUUGGUAAAGGAAAAUGGAUUUACUUAUAUUUUGGCCAAACAUCUUUCCACACUGGUGGCCUUAUUAAUAUUAAGGUCAGCCAGGAUGCCUUCUUUUGUGUGGAAAAAGAUACCCCUAUGCCUCACGUUACAUUAUCUGUAAUAAUAAAACACUGCAAGAGAUUGCUGUAAUAAAGUACUGUAAAGAUGGCAUAUUUUUUCAGGGAAGAUUCUUUGGGGUCUGAAGGUGUAAGAUACUCACCCUUCUCUGCUCUGGCACAUUUAUCCCUGGGUUCAUUCCUUUGGUUGGUGGAACAGUAGGUUUUUGAAUUCUUUCUUUGGCCCACUUCACAACUCUUUUCUGCUCUCAUCUACAGCAGUUCAAAAGAUCUAACAAGUGAAGAGAGGGGCACAGGGAUUUCUUUCAGAUAUCUUAUCUCUCAUUGGGGCUCAGCAUGGUCAUGGUCACAUUGAUAUGAGGGAAUCUGGACCCUCCAGGGCUUCAGUGGCAUACACAUACAAAGUAUCUUUGCAGUAUGAGCACCAAUCCCACUGAAGGCGCCGUCUCUCAUCCCCAGACAGCUGGGUAAGGCUCAGAAAAUUUGACUGUACUCUUUUGAAAUGCCCAAGGCUCAAAUGCCUUUAGGCUAAGUGGUCCACCAAAAGGUGGGGAAUGGCUUUCAGCAGGACUCAGGAGUAGGCAGAGUUUUUUUGUUUUUUGUUUUUAAGUAACAUCCAUCCCUAUUCUGCGCUGGACCAAAUGCAUCCUAUAAGAGGCAGAGAGUUGGUAACAGAGAAAAUCCAGCAGCUCUUCUCCUCCACACACAGUCAGCCUUGGCUGCCCUCACGUGUACAGGUCUGCUCUGCCCAUUUACUCUUGUUCUAAUUCACCAGAAAAGAGUUUUUGCUUCCGUCUUCCUUGAUCACAGAUUUGCUUUCUGUUUGCUCCAUACCUUCCUCCAGGUGACAAGAAGCCAGCUGGCUGUCAUAGUCGAGUUGGAUUUCAUCACCUCGAAGCUUCUCUGAGUUACAUGGCCACUGAGGUUACUGUCCUACAAAAUAAAGUCACCACAAAGCCUCUGGACUACUUCUUUUGUGGAUUCAUGAGCUGGGGAAAGGGGUUCUCCAUUCUCUGCGUCUCGUCACACCCAUAGGUACGUGUGUCCUUGCUCCUGUGGAAGGCUAACCCUUGACAUGGUCUUUAGAGGUCUUUGGUGCUGUCUGUGUGGCUGCGACCUUGCAGAUUCUCGUUAUUCUCGUCAUCUUUCUCCUCUGCAGUCCUGGAGUGCUCACAGUGUCUUAUCCAGGCAGAGCACCUGAAAGCUGCGUAGGGUUGUUGAAAGCAGAAGUGUUGGGUCCAUGCCAGAUUACAAUGGGACGUUAACUAGCCAUUAGAAGAGCUUCGGAUUGUAGCAGCCCCUUCCCCAAGGUCCUGAAAAGUCCUUUGGCUUGAAUAGUUGGCGGAACAGGGAUGCUGUGGCAUCAGUGGGAGAAUUUGGAGGAACAGCGGGUUGGUGGUGGUGGAGGAGGAGGUGUUAUGGCUUAGGGACAUGUUUGACUUGAGAUGGCUGUUAGCUCUGCAAAGGGAGAUGUUGACAUAGGCUGUUGAUUCGUGGAGACUAGAUCAACUUGGAGAAAGAAAUCAGAGCUAUGAUGGAAAGGACAAAUUGCUUUUAAACAACCACUAUCCCAUUUUGUUUAUAAUGAGAACUACAUUUAGAUCGUAGAUUACAACUGUUAGUCUUCUGUGUAGCUAUGUGGCCAUGUAUUAACCAACACACCAUAAUAGGAAAUAUUCUAAAAAAUAGUCACCAUCUUUCCCCUUUGCCUUGAUGCUGGCUGUGAGAGCCAGUGCUAGAGUCAUCUUGGACUAGGAAGAUGAUGGCCACAUCAUAGUGACGAUGAAGAUAGAAGUCAAACAGUUUUUGUCAAUUGUGAUGCUGUCUCUGUACUUACCCCUCAAUGACUAUGUCUACUUUUAUCUACAGGACAAGAAUACAUUUUUAUCUUUUUUCUACUCUAGAUAACACCUACAAAUGAAUAUAUAAAGUUUUUAAAAAAUAUAUAUGAGUGCCUACAUGUGUGGUACAUGUGUCCCCAUAGAGGCCAGAAGGCAUGUGGUUCCCUGGAAUUAGAGUUACAGACAAUUGUAAGCCA